This 596-nucleotide ribosomal RNA is filed under the name uncultured bacterium. Its description in RNAcentral is "bacterial SSU rRNA". It matches the Rfam family "Bacterial small subunit ribosomal RNA", at positions 788 to 1383 of the family's 1533-position model. The record is from RNAcentral.
UGGUAGUNCACGCCGUAAACGCUGAGUGCUAGGUGUUAGGUCCUUUCCGGGACUUAGUGCNGACGCUAACGCAUUAAGCACUCCGCCUGGGGAGUACGACCGCAAGGUUGAAACUCAAAGGAAUUGACGGGGGCCCGCACAAGCGGUGGAGCAUGUGGUUUAAUUCGAAGCAACGCGAAGAACCUUACCAGGUCUUGACAUCCCGAUGCCCGCUCUAGAGAUAGAGUUUUACUUUUUGUACAUCGGAGACAGGUGGUGCAUGGUUGUCGUCAGCUCGUGUCGUGAGAUGUUGGGUUAAGNNNNNNNACGAGCGCAACCCUUAUUGUUAGUUGCCAUCAUUAAGUUGGGCACUCUAGCGAGACUGCCGGUAAUAAACCGGAGGAAGGUGGGGAUGACGUCAAAUCAUCAUGCCCCUUAUGACCUGGGCUACACACGUGCUACAAUGGUUGGUACAACGAGUCGCAAGCCGGUGACGGCAAGCUAAUCUCUGAAAGCCAAUCUCAGUUCGGAUUGUAGGCUGCAACUCGCCUACAUGAAGUCGGAAUCGCUAGUAAUCGCGGAUCAGCACGCCGCGGUGAAUACGUUCCCGGGCCUUG